GCCGGUGGGAGAACCUGGAUAGCUGAUUUCAUUCUUGCUACUUGCUGGUCAUAAAGGAGACGCUUACCGAUUUCUUUAAGGAGAGGAGUUGGAGAUGAGUGAGCUCUCAGAGUUUCUCACGAGAAGAAGUAACGUGAGUCACGCUAACCCACGUGUUCCUCACAGUGCCAGCGUGGUCGUGUAGGCCUGGGAUGCAACUGCGCCACUUCGUAAUCGCAGUCAAGCGCAUCACGGCCUUCCGGUGUGUAAUGCUUUACGGUACGACAUGGUUGUUCAGAUUUCAGCCCGCAUUAUUACUGCAAAGUGGGUUCUUAAAAUUACUUUCACGUGUUUAUUUUGUGAAUGAUGACCCAUAUUCAACUCAAGUGGGCCUUUGGAGCACAAUGCUUUGCACUUUGGAUUCUACAGAAAUUGAUCUCUGAGAGAUUAAAUCAUCUCCGCUUAGACAAAAUAGACCACAUUUUCUAUACUUCAUGCCUUUGACGGGUUGCUGACAACUGUAAGAACUGAACAGGCUUCUAACUUUGAAAUGCUCUCCUCACACUGGCUCCACGCAGCGCAGCUCUUUGAAAUGCACUCAUGUCUUUGAUCUGGUCUAUCUUCACGUUUCCCUGUUUCUUUUUCUUUUCCCACAUGGGGAUAAUGUCUCAGUAAGGUUUUCAUACUUUUAUGUGAUAUCUUUUUUCAAAAUAUACACCCAAAGAUUGUAUGCUUAUUAUCUAAAUUAGCACUUCCCUGAUGGUGACUAUAACCUUCAUUUUCAACCCCCAAAUAUAAAUGUAUUCAUUCAUCUGGUUUGCAGAUCUACAAUGCCUUUCCUUUGAGCUCAGGUGUAACAGAUGAGCAGUGCCUCCUCCUUAAAGUCGCAGAUCGAGAUCCACAGAAUCUUUUCCUCAGGGCUUUUAAACUUUAAUAAUUUCAAACUCUUUCCUUUCUUAGCUGGAUCUAAGGGGUUAGCAGCCUCAUAUGUGUAACUGCUACUACAGUACCUUAGUGUUUGUGUUUGCUCUAGUGGUUCUCCAAUAAUCUUAGCAAUCUCUUUUAUUAAAGUACGCCUG
This 1058-nucleotide long non-coding RNA is filed under the name Chinchilla lanigera (long-tailed chinchilla). RNAcentral's name for it is "lncRNA (ENSCLAG00000026660.1)". Lineage: Eukaryota; Metazoa; Chordata; Mammalia; Rodentia; Chinchillidae. The record is from RNAcentral.